This 86-nucleotide transfer RNA is filed under the name Chitinispirillales bacterium. Its description in RNAcentral is "tRNA-Leu". It matches the Rfam family "tRNA". From Rfam's summary of the family: Transfer RNA (tRNA) molecules are approximately 80 nucleotides in length. Their secondary structure includes four short double-helical elements and three loops (D, anti-codon, and T loops). Lineage: Bacteria; Pseudomonadati; Fibrobacterota; Chitinispirillia; Chitinispirillales. The record is from RNAcentral.
GCCGAAGUGGUGAAAUGGUAGACACAGUGGAUUCAAAAUCCACCGGUAGCAAUAUCGUGCGAGUUCGAGUCUCGCCUUCGGUACCA